This 459-nucleotide ribosomal RNA is filed under the name uncultured bacterium. RNAcentral's name for it is "partial 16S ribosomal RNA". It matches the Rfam family "Bacterial small subunit ribosomal RNA", at positions 338 to 795 of the family's 1533-position model. The record is from RNAcentral.
CCUACGGGAGGCUGCAGUGAGGAAUAUUGGUCAAUGGGAGAGAUCCUGAACCAGCCAAGCCGCGUGAGGGAAGACGGCCCUAUGGGUUGUAAACCUCUUUUGUCGGAGAACAAAACCCGGGACGUGUCCCGGACUGCGUGUAUCCGAAGAAAAAGCAUCGGCUAACUCCGUGCCAGCAGCCGCGGUAAUACGGAGGAUGCGAGCGUUAUCCGGAUUUAUUGGGUUUAAAGGGUGCGUAGGCGGUCCGUUAAGUCAGCGGGAAAAUUGCGGGGCUCAACCCCGUCGAGCCGUUGAAACUGGCAGACUUGAGUUGGCGAGAAGUACGCGGAAUGCGCGGUGGAGCGGUGAAAUGCAUAGAGAUCGCGCAGAACUCCGAUUGCGAAGGCAGCGUACCGGCGCCAGACUGACGCUGAGGCACGAAAGCGUGGGGAUCGAACAGGAUUAGAUACCCUAGUAGUC